UACAGAGGGUGCAAGCGUUGCUCGGAUUUAUUGGGCGUAAAGCGCACGCAGACGGUAUGGAAGGUCGGACGUGAAAUCCCUGGGCUCAACCUAGGAACUGCGUUCGAAACCACCAAACUAGAGUUCGGAAGAGGGAGGCGGAAUUCCUGGUGUAGAGGUGAAAUUCGUAGAUAUCAGGAGGAACACCAGCGGCGAAGGCGGCUUCCUGGUCCGAUACUGACGUUCAGGUGCGAAAGCGUGGGUAGCAAACAGG
This 253-nucleotide ribosomal RNA is filed under the name uncultured bacterium. RNAcentral's name for it is "partial 16S ribosomal RNA". It matches the Rfam family "Bacterial small subunit ribosomal RNA", at positions 524 to 776 of the family's 1533-position model. The record is from RNAcentral.